UACGUAGGGGGCAAGCGUUAUCCGGAAUUACUGGGUGUAAAGGGAGCGUAGACGGUAAUGUAAGUCUGGAGUGAAAGGCGGGGGCCCAACCCCCGGACUGCUCUGGAAACUAUGUUACUAGAGUGCAGGAGAGGUAAGCGGAAUUCCUAGUGUAGCGGUGAAAUGCGUAGAUAUUAGGAGGAACACCAGUGGCGAAGGCGAUUCUCUGGACUGUAACUGACGCUGAGGCUCGAAAGCGUGGGGAGCAAACAGG
Molecule: ribosomal RNA, 253 nt
Filed under: uncultured bacterium
Lineage: Bacteria
Description: partial 16S ribosomal RNA
Rfam family: Bacterial small subunit ribosomal RNA
Source: RNAcentral